CGGCCUCUCCGAAGCCUGCCCGGCUCCUCGGGAACGUGCCUCCCGCAUGGCAGCUGCUGCCCUUCAGAGGCCG
RNAcentral lists this microRNA precursor (73 nucleotides) under Gorilla gorilla gorilla (western lowland gorilla). RNAcentral describes it as "mir-596 microRNA precursor family". It matches the Rfam family "mir-596 microRNA precursor family". The record is from Rfam by way of RNAcentral. Lineage: Eukaryota; Metazoa; Chordata; Mammalia; Primates; Hominidae.